GACAGAGGUGCCGAGCGUUAGGCGGAAUCACUGGGCUUAAAGCGCGUGUAGGCGGCUUGAUCAGUCAGACGUGAAAUCCCUCGGCUCAACCGAGGAACUGCGUCUGAUACUGUCAGGCUUGAGUGUCGGAGGGGAUGGCGGAAUUCCUGGUGUAGAGGUGAAAUUCGUAGAUAUCAGGAGGAACAUCCGUGGCGAAGGCGGCCAUCUGGAAGACAACUGACGCUGAGACGCGAAAGCGUGGGUAGCAAACAGG
Molecule: ribosomal RNA, 253 nt
Filed under: uncultured bacterium
Lineage: Bacteria
Description: partial 16S ribosomal RNA
Rfam family: Bacterial small subunit ribosomal RNA
Source: RNAcentral